Non-coding RNA from Actinia tenebrosa (Australian red waratah sea anemone), 75 nucleotides. Lineage: Eukaryota; Metazoa; Cnidaria; Anthozoa; Actiniaria; Actiniidae. The record is from the annotation of a RefSeq genome assembly.
GCCUGAUUAGCUCAGUAUGUAGAGCAUCAGACUUUUAAUCUGAGGGUCAAGGGUUCGAGUCGCCCUUAUCGGGCG